CUUCUCCUACGGGGCGCAGCAGUGGGGACUAUUGCGCAAUGGGCGAAAGCCUGACGCAGCGACGCCGCGUGAGGGAUGAAGGGCUUCGGAUCGUAAACCUCUGUCAGCAGGGAAGAACGGUCACUGUGCUACUCAGCAGUGAAUUGACGGUACCUGCAAAGGAAGCACCGGCUAACUCCGUGCCAGCAGCCGCGGUAAUACGGAGGGUGCGAGCGUUAAUCGGAAUUACUGGGCGUACAGCGCUCGUAGGC
RNAcentral lists this ribosomal RNA (251 nucleotides) under uncultured bacterium. Its description in RNAcentral is "partial 16S ribosomal RNA". It matches the Rfam family "Bacterial small subunit ribosomal RNA", at positions 333 to 576 of the family's 1533-position model. The record is from RNAcentral.